This 497-nucleotide ribosomal RNA is filed under the name uncultured bacterium. RNAcentral's name for it is "partial 16S ribosomal RNA". It matches the Rfam family "Bacterial small subunit ribosomal RNA", at positions 28 to 507 of the family's 1533-position model. The record is from RNAcentral.
GAUGAACGCUGGCGGCGUGCCUAAUACAUGCAAGUCGAGCGAACGGACGAGAAGCUUGCUUCUCUGAUGUUAGCGGCGGACGGGUGAGUAACACGUGGAUAACCUACCUAUAAGACUGGGAUAACUUCGGGAAACCGGAGCUACUACCGGAUGAUAUUUUGAACCGCAUGGUUCAAAAGUGAAAGACGGUCUUGCUGUCACUUAUAGAUGGAUCCGCGCUGCAUUAGCUAGUUGGUAAGGUAACGGCUUACCAAGGCAACGAUGCAUAGCCGACCUGAGAGGGUGAUCGGCCACACUGGAACUGAGACACGGUCCAGACUCCUACGGGAGGCAGCAGUAGGGAAUCUUCCGCAAUGGGCGAAAGCCUGACGGAGCAACGCCGCGUGAGUGAUGAAGGUCUUCGGACCGUAAAACUCUGUUAUUAGGGAAGAACAUAUGUGUAAGUAACUGUGCACAUCUUGACGGUACCUAAUCAGAAAGCCACGGCUAACUACGUG